Stegostoma tigrinum is the source of this 1672-nucleotide long non-coding RNA. RefSeq lists it as uncharacterized. Lineage: Eukaryota; Metazoa; Chordata; Chondrichthyes; Orectolobiformes; Stegostomatidae. The transcript has 5 exons. The record is from RefSeq and is a predicted model, not a curated record.
ACCACGUGAUCAUCCACGUGAGCAGUGCAAGUUCGCUGAGAAAAGUAGGAGCUGCAGAUCCCCGAGACAACAAAGUGCAGAGCUGGAUGAACACCGCAGGCCAAGCAGCAUCAGUGAAGCAGGAAAGCUGACGUUUCGGGCCCAGCUCCUUCGCUGAGACCAAGAUUUGUGCAAUUGAGAUACCAGCGAUCGUUGCCAAAGCCCUGUUACUUGUGGAGAAGGUCAUGUUUAACUUCUGUGUGCUGCUGCAGUUCAUAUGAUGAAGGUGCUCCCACAAUGCGGUCAUUUGAGAAGUUACAGAUCAUUCAUCGAGCGAUACUGAAGAGCUGAUGGUGAUAUUACAAGUGGACUUGCAGGUGGGAAACUCAAUAAUUGUAACACCAAACUCUGACAGAAUUAUUCAAUUCAUCAACAUCUGGAUAUUUGCAUUGUGUAGUGGUUCAUGUGUGAAACGAACUUUCAGUGGAGGUGGUGGAUGCAGAUUUCCACAAUUUUACUUCUGCACUGUUCUUAACCUUUUGAUCCCUCUGAAAGACUGAGUUACAAUGCCUGUCCUUCCUCCCUGGCUGUCCCACCUCUCUUUCAGCAGUUUUGUGCAAAUACUGACUGGAUCCCUUACCUGGAGGAUAUUUAUUUGAAUUUGUUCUAAUGAUGAUCCAGCAUAUUUCCCAAGUGUCGCUCCAUAAAUGUCCAGAGGAUUUCUCCAUUUCACAAUCUGUGGUUGUUCUUCUGGUUUCUCACUCACUGCACUUACUUUCUGUUUGAAAGCUUAGUCUGCAAUUGGAGAAUUCAAACAGGUCCACAUCCAGCUCUGACAGUCACUUUGUUUAUCACAAACCAGUUACCUCAGGAUUUUGAACAUUGGAGGAAAAAGCAGCAUUCACACUGGGGAGAAAUGCACAUGAUCUGUAAAGAGUCUGUGAAGAUUCAUCUGAAAUGUCCGAACACCAGUGCAGUGACACUGGGGAGAGACUGUGGAAAUGUGCAGGUUGCAGGAAGGAAUUUUUAAAAUCCAUCCCAGCUAGAAACUGACCACCAGAGUCACACUGGAGAGAAACCAUUCACCUGCUCUGAUUGUGGAAUGGGAUUCACUCAGUCAUCUAACCUGCUUAAACACCACGGAGUUCGCACUGUAGAGAAACCAUUUACAUGCUUGAAAUGUGGGAAAGCAUUCACUCAGACAUCUCAACCGCUGAUGCACUAGCGAAUUCACACUGGAGACAGACCAUUGGCCUGUUCUGCGUGAGGGAAAGGCUUUGCUGACUCGAAUUGCCCGCUGAUACACCAGCGACUUCACUCUGGGGAGUGACCAUUCAUCUGCUCCCAGUGUGGGAAGGGAUUCACUUGCUCACCCAACCUGCAGAGCGUUCACACUGGGGAGAAACCAUUCACCUGCUCUAAAUUUGUGAAAGCAUUCACUUUGUCGUCCUACCUGCUCGUGUUCCAGCAGGUUCAUACUAGGGAGGGACCAUUCAUGAGCUCUGAGUGGGGGGAAAGCAUUCACUCAGUUAUCCAAACUGCUAACACACCAGCGAGUUCACAAAGAAGCACAGUUGAAGGAUUUUGCUGUCACACUCACAAUCAAAUGAACCAUGGUGUUGGGCUGUUUGUACUGAUGUUACUGAUCCCUGCUCAAUUAAACGUGCUGGUAUUGCAGAUAAAAUGUUAAUAA